RNAcentral lists this ribosomal RNA (353 nucleotides) under Treponema sp. RNAcentral describes it as "bacterial SSU rRNA". It matches the Rfam family "Bacterial small subunit ribosomal RNA", at positions 1 to 346 of the family's 1533-position model. The record is from RNAcentral. Lineage: Bacteria; Pseudomonadati; Spirochaetota; Spirochaetia; Treponematales; Treponemataceae.
AUCAUGGAGAGUAUGAUCCUGGCUCAGAACCAACGCUGGCGGCGCGACAUAAGCAUGCAAGUCGAGCGGUAAGAUAUCAGCUUGCUGAUAUCCUAGAGCGGCGGACUGGUGAGUAACGCGUGGGUGACGUACCCUUUGGACGGGGAUAGCCUGUGGAAACACAGGGUAAUACCGGAUACGGUCGCAUAUGUCAGAGGUAUGCGAGGAAAGGUUCUUUUGAACCGCCGAAGGAGCGGCCCGCGUGCUAUUAGUUAGUUGGCGGGGUAACGGCCCACCAAGACCGCGAUGUCUAGGGGAACUGAGAGGUUGGUCCCCCACACUUGAACUGAGACACGGUCCAGACUCCUACGGGA